RNAcentral lists this ribosomal RNA (253 nucleotides) under uncultured bacterium. RNAcentral's name for it is "partial 16S ribosomal RNA". It matches the Rfam family "Bacterial small subunit ribosomal RNA", at positions 524 to 776 of the family's 1533-position model. The record is from RNAcentral.
UACGUAGGGGGCAAGCGUUGUCCGGAAUCAUUGGGCGUAAAGAGCGUGUAGGCGGCCCGGUAAGUCCGCUGUGAAAGUCCAGGGCUCAACCCUGGGAUGCCGGUGGAUACUGUCGGGCUCGAGUCCGGAAGAGGAGUGUGGAAUUCCUGGUGUAGCGGUGAAGUGCGCAGAUAUCAGGAGGAACACCGGUGGCGAAGGCGGGUCUCUGGGCCGAUACUGACGCUGAGGAGCGAAAGCGUGGGGAGCGAACAGG